This is a long non-coding RNA of Bos taurus (domestic cattle), 628 nucleotides long. The record is from Ensembl. NCBI's taxonomy places the organism in Eukaryota, Metazoa, Chordata, Mammalia, Artiodactyla, Bovidae.
GUGGAAAGGAAAGUUUGCUUUAGUUUAGAUGCCAGCAACUGGGUGAGGUUGCGGGGCACGGGGAGGGUGGUGGAUAUCUGUCCAAAGGCUGAUUCCCUCCCCACUCUGACAAGCAGGGGUUGCACGAGCUUUUACAGACAGAAGUAGGGGGGUGGCUACAUGCAGAAACAGCAUAGUCAUCUCUAGCAGUAAUCUUCAAAUUGGUCAUCAGUGGUCUGGCCAGAAUCACCUUGAUUGUUUUAGGUACAGUUAAUUUUCAGUUCCAGGGUCCAUUUGUUUCCAUUUCUUUGAGGCCAAGUCUCAGAAUUGUGGCAGCUCAUGUCGUGGUUAUUGUCUGAUCAUCAUGUAGUUAACUUCUCCACCUGGUGUAUUAGUAUCUGAAAGGGCAGAGUUGCUCUUUUUCCAUUACCCCAUGCAUUUCAUUCUAAUUCAGCUUUAGCCAGCUUCAACAGGAGCUGAGUUCUCCAACUGCAGAAGCAGCGGCUGAUCAAGACCAGCAAAAGAAAGACACAUAUCUUUUUGGACCAGAUACAUUGCAAAAAGCUUCAAUACUUUGGCCACCUGAGGUGAAGAGCCAACUCAUUGGAAAAGACCCUGAUGCUGGGAAAGAUUGAGGGCAGAAGGAGAA